RNAcentral lists this ribosomal RNA (497 nucleotides) under uncultured bacterium. Its description in RNAcentral is "partial 16S ribosomal RNA". It matches the Rfam family "Bacterial small subunit ribosomal RNA", at positions 28 to 507 of the family's 1533-position model. The record is from RNAcentral.
GAUGAACGCUGGCGGCGUGCCUAAUACAUGCAAGUCGAGCGAACAGACGAGGAGCUUGCUCCUCUGACGUUAGCGGCGGACGGGUGAGUAACACGUGGAUAACCUACCUAUAAGACUGGGAUAACUUCGGGAAACCGGAGCUAAUACCGGAGAAUAUAUUGAACCGCAUGGUUCAAUAGUGAAAGACGGUUUUGCUGUCACUUAUAGAUGGAUCCGCGCCGCAUUAGCUAGUUGGUAAGGUAACGGCUUACCAAGGCGACUAUGCGUAGCCGAACUGAGAGGGUGAUCGGCCACAUGGGAACUUAGACACGGUCCAGGCUCCUACGGGAGGCACCAGUAUGGAAUCUGCCGCAAUGGGCGGAAGCCUUGCGGAGCAAGCCCGCGCGAGUGAUGAAGGCCUUCGGAUCGUAAAACUCUGUUAUUAGGUAAGAACCAAUGUGUAAGUAACUAUGCACGUCUUGACGGUACCUAAUCAGAAAGCCACGGCUAACUACGUG